Non-coding RNA from Cyanistes caeruleus (blue tit), 918 nucleotides. The record is from RefSeq and is a predicted model, not a curated record. Lineage: Eukaryota; Metazoa; Chordata; Aves; Passeriformes; Paridae.
CCCCAGCAGUUUUUCAUGUUUCUUCUCUUGCCUUCAGAGAAGUUCUUUUGCACAGUGUUUGGUGUGCACUGAAAUGUUUACGUGAAUUGGAAGGUUGUUCAACAUCCCAGGGGACACCAAAGAAGGUGACUUUAUUGCAGGAGUGUGCCUGAAAUGAGGAUGUUAAAACCAAAUCAAUAAGGAUAUAUUGCUCAAUAUUAAUAAGGAUCCAGGCUUCUGCCAGCACACAGAGGGGAAGGAGGACUCUGCAGGCAGAAUAAAAUUGAGAGUAUGAGACAGAUCAACCAGCAACUGCUAUUUGACACGCUCUGUCCACUGGCCUAGUUUAUUAUACCUGGAAUGAAACAACUAAAGCACUAGAGAUGAAUAUGUCUCAGUUUUCUGUAAAAUGAACUCCUGGGUUUUGCUGGUAGUGGCUGUUGGUUUUCAUAUGAAAUUAGUAGUGUCUCAUUAAAUGAAAGGCAAUUAUAUGUAUUAGCAAUAAUGAUAGAAUCAUACAAAAAAAAAAAGUCAACCAAAAAAAUAUCCCCCAUGGAUGUAAUUUUAGAAAUGCAUUAUGCAAGGGUUAAUUUGUGAGCUGGGUUUUUUUUUCUUCCCCCACGUUUUGAAAGCUUUGCUGUAAUUUUGUAUGAAAUUUGAGAUCAGUGAGUCUAUAAUAUCUAAUGAAUAAUUUACUACGCCAACAGUCUUUCUGUGGAAGAAUACUAAAUUAAUUAAGGCCUGGAGGAAUUUCCAUGUGUUUAAGCCACAUUAUAUCUUCAAGGUUUUACUGCUUCAAAGUCACUGAGAUGAACUCCUGGCUUUUCAGGUGUUAACAGUCCCAGGAAAACAAGAUUGAUGCCCUUGCUUUAGCCUAGAAAAACUAAAGGGCUUCAGCGUGUGUUUUGUGUGAAUCUAUUAAAAGGAUAGUUCUUUGCA